AUAGGCAUAUCGUUGAAGCAGUAAGCCCAGCAAAAGGCAUGGAAAUAAAUGACUCAUUCCUUGUAAUGAUUUUUCUUCAUUGUGGGUGGAUUGAAGGGCACGUUACACUUAUACAAGACUGGCAGCAAAAAGUCUCUCCACCUUCCAGGUAUAGUUUAUCAACAAGGAACUACAGCUUCGAAUUGACAUCUGAACCAAGGUCUUGGGGGAAACAAAAUCUUCAGCUGGCUGCUGAUUUAUGA
This 242-nucleotide long non-coding RNA is filed under the name Lepisosteus oculatus (spotted gar). RNAcentral's name for it is "lncRNA (ENSLOCG00000021751.1)". Lineage: Eukaryota; Metazoa; Chordata; Actinopteri; Semionotiformes; Lepisosteidae. The record is from RNAcentral.